GAAACCCGGUGAUCUAGCCAUGGGCAGGUUGAAGGUUGGGUAACACUAACUGGAGGACCGAACCGACUAAUGUUGAAAAAUUAGCGGAUGACUUGUGGCUGGGGGUGAAAGGCCAAUCAAACCGGGAGAUAGCUGGUUCUCCCCGAAAGCUAUUUAGGUAGCGCCUCGUGAAUUCAUCUCCGGGGGUAGAGCACUGUUUCGGCAAGGGGGUCAUCCCGACUUACCAACCCGAUGCAAACUGCGAAUACCGGAGAAUGUUAUCACGGGAGACACACGGCGGGUGCUAACGUCCGUCGUGAAGAGGGAAACAACCCAGACCGCCAGCUAAGGUCCCAAAGUCAUGGUUAAGUGGGAAACGAUGUGGGAAGGCCCAGACAGCCAGGAUGUUGGCUUAGAAGCAGCCAUCAUUUAAAGAAAGCGUAAUAGCUCACUGGUCGAGUCGGCCUGCGCGGAAGAUGUAACGGGGCUAAACCAUGCACCGAAGCUGCGGCAGCGACGCUUAUGCGUUGUUGGGUAGGGGAGCGUUCUGUAAGCCUGUGAAGGUGUGCUGUGAGGCAUGCUGGAGGUAUCAGAAGUGCGAAUGCUGACAUAAGUAACGAUAAAGCGGGUGAAAAGCCCGCUCGCCGGAAGACCAAGGGUUCCUGUCCAACGUUAAUCGGGGCAGGGUGAGUCGACCCCUAAGGCGAGGCCGAAAGGCGUAGUCGAUGGGAAACAGGUUAAUAUUCCUGUACUUGGUGUUACUGCGAAGGGGGGACGGAGAAGGCUAUGUUGGCCGGGCGACGGUUGUCCCGGUUUAAGCGUGUAGGCUGGUUUUCCAGGCAAAUCCGGAAAAUCAAGGCUGAGGCGUGAUGACGAGGCACUACGGUGCUGAAGCAACAAAUGCCCUGCUUCCAGGAAAAGCCUCUAAGCAUCAGGUAACAUCAAAUCGUACCCCAAACCGACACAGGUGGUCAGGUAGAGAAUACCAAGGCGCUUGAGAGAACUCGGGUGAAGGAACUAGGCAAAAUGGUGCCGUAACUUCGGGAGAAGGCACGCUGAUAUGUAGGUGAAGUCCCUCGCGGAUGGAGCUGAAAUCAGUCGAAGAUACCAGCUGGCUGCAACUGUUUAUUAAAAACACAGCACUGUGCAAACACGAAAGUGGACGUAUACGGUGUGACGCCUGCCCGGUGCCGGAAGGUUAAUUGAUGGGGUCAGCGCAAGCGAAGCUCUUGAUCGAAGCCCCGGUAAACGGCGGCCGUAACUAUAACGGUCCUAAGGUAGCGAAAUUCCUUGUCGGGUAAGUUCCGACCUGCACGAAUGGCGUAAUGAUGGCCAGGCUGUCUCCACCCGAGACUCAGUGAAAUUGAACUCGCUGUGAAGAUGCAGUGUACCCGCGGCAAGACGGAAAGACCCCGUGAACCUUUACUAUAGCUUGACACUGAACAUUGAGCCUUGAUGUGUAGGAUAGGUGGGAGGCUUAGAAGUGUGGACGCCAGUCUGCAUGGAGCCGACCUUGAAAUACCACCCUUUAAUGUUUGAUGUUCUAACGUUGACCCGUAAUCCGGGUUGCGGACAGUGUCUGGUGGGUAGUUUGACUGGGGCGGUCUCCUCCUAAAGAGUAACGGAGGAGCACGAAGGUUGGCUAAUCCUGGUCGGACAUCAGGAGGUUAGUGCAAUGGCAUAAGCCAGCUUGACUGCGAGCGUGACGGCGCGAGCAGGUGCGAAAGCAGGUCAUAGUGAUCCGGUGGUUCUGAAUGGAAGGGCCAUCGCUCAACGGAUAAAAGGUACUCCGGGGAUAACAGGCUGAUACCGCCCAAGAGUUCAUAUCGACGGCGGUGUUUGGCACCUCGAUGUCGGCUCAUCACAUCCUGGGGCUGAAGUAGGUCCCAAGGGUAUGGCUGUUCGCCAUUUAAAGUGGUACGCGAGCUGGGUUUAGAACGUCGUGAGACAGUUCGGUCCCUAUCUGCCGUGGGCGCUGGAGAACUGAGGGGGGCUGCUCCUAGUACGAGAGGACCGGAGUGGACGCAUCACUGGUGUUCGGGUUGUCAUGCCAAUGGCACUGCCCGGUAGCUAAAUGCGGAAGAGAUAAGUGCUGAAAGCAUCUAAGCACGAAACUUGCCCCGAGAUGAGUUCUCCCUGACUCCUUGAGAGUCCUGAAGGAACGUUGAAGACGACGACGUUGAUAGGCCGGGUGUGUAAGCGCAGCGAUGCGUUGAGCUAACCGGUACUAAUGAACCGUGAGGCUUAACCUUACAACGCCGAAGCUGUU
Molecule: ribosomal RNA, 2248 nt
Filed under: Escherichia coli
Lineage: Bacteria; Pseudomonadati; Pseudomonadota; Gammaproteobacteria; Enterobacterales; Enterobacteriaceae
Description: partial 23S ribosomal RNA
Rfam family: Bacterial large subunit ribosomal RNA
Source: RNAcentral